GGGCGAUUAGCUCAGUUGGGAGAGCACCUGCCUUACAAGCAGAGGGUCACUGGUUCGAACCCGGUAUCGCCCACCA
RNAcentral lists this transfer RNA (76 nucleotides) under Vibrio cholerae. RNAcentral describes it as "tRNA-Val(tac)". It matches the Rfam family "tRNA". Rfam says of the family: Transfer RNA (tRNA) molecules are approximately 80 nucleotides in length. The record is from RNAcentral. Lineage: Bacteria; Pseudomonadati; Pseudomonadota; Gammaproteobacteria; Vibrionales; Vibrionaceae. RNAcentral also lists the same sequence under 3 other names.